RNAcentral lists this long non-coding RNA (515 nucleotides) under Oryzias sinensis (Chinese medaka). RNAcentral describes it as "lncRNA (ENSOSIG00000013489.1)". The record is from RNAcentral. Lineage: Eukaryota; Metazoa; Chordata; Actinopteri; Beloniformes; Adrianichthyidae.
UGCUCCUGUGCGCAGUGAUCCAGAAGGUGGACUACGUGUUCGCUGAGAACGGUCUGGUGGCCUACAAGAACGGACAGCUGCUCUCUGUGCAGUCCAUUCAGGCCCACAUGGGGGAGGAGCUUCUGCAGGACUUCAUCAACUUCUGCCUGAACUACAUGGCCUCCAUCAAGUUACCCAAGAAGAGGUAACGUCCCACCGUCUGCAGCCUUUAGGGAGGGUCGAGGGUUUGAAUCCCAAACCUGAUAGGGUUCUGCAGUCAUGUUCUGCUGUCAUGUUCUGCAGUCAUGUUCAUGUUCUGCAGUCAUGUUCUGCAGUCAUGUUCUUGUUCUGCAGACAUGUUCUGCAGUCAUGUUCUUGUUCUGCAGACAUGUUCUGCAGUCAUGUUUUGCAGUCAUGUUCUGCAGUCAUGUUCAUGUUCUGCAGUCAUGUUCAUGUUCUUCAGUCAUGUUCUGCAGUCAUGUUCUGAAGUCAUGUUCUUGUUCUGCAGCCAUGUUCUUGUUCUGCAGACAUGUUCU